This 500-nucleotide ribosomal RNA is filed under the name uncultured bacterium. Its description in RNAcentral is "partial 16S ribosomal RNA". It matches the Rfam family "Bacterial small subunit ribosomal RNA", at positions 30 to 523 of the family's 1533-position model. The record is from RNAcentral.
AUUGAACGCUGGCGGCAGGCCUAACACAUGCAAGUCGAGCGGCAGCGGGUCCUUCGGGAUGCCGGCGAGCGGCGGACGGGUGAGUAAUGCCUAGGAAUCUGCCUGGUAGUGGGGGAUAACGUUCGGAAACGGACGCUAAUACCGCAUACGUCCUACGGGAGAAAGUGGGGGAUCUUCGGACCUCACGCUAUCAGAUGAGCCUAGGUCGGAUUAGCUAGUUGGUGGGGUAAAGGCUCACCAAGGCGACGAUCCGUAACUGGUCUGAGAGGAUGAUCGGUCACACUGGAACUGAGACACGGUCGAGACUCCUACUGGAGGCAGCAGUGGGGAAGAUUGGACAAUGGGCGAAAGCCUGAGCCAGCCAUGCCGCGUGUGUGAAGAAGGUCUUCGGAUUGUAAAGCACUUUAAGUUGGGAGGAAGGGCAGUAAGUUAAUACCUUGCUGUUUUGACGUUACCAACAGAAUAAGCACCGGCUAACUUCGUGCCAGCAGCCGCCGUAA